This is a long non-coding RNA of Antechinus flavipes (yellow-footed antechinus), 1036 nucleotides long. RefSeq lists it as uncharacterized. The record is from RefSeq and is a predicted model, not a curated record. The transcript has 3 exons. NCBI's taxonomy places the organism in Eukaryota, Metazoa, Chordata, Mammalia, Dasyuromorphia, Dasyuridae.
UUGAGGACUGGGGAAGGGGGGGGGGCAAAAAAACCAAGUUUCUUCUUCCCUCAGGCCUUGCAGCUGGCUCCUACCUCCCAUCUAGCGCCUUGGUCCCUCUUCCUCUAAUUUCCCUUUCCUUUCUCAGUUCCCCUCCCUCUCUCCCUCACAGGGAAUGGGGGAGGGGUAUGAUGCUUGGCUCUGUGCUUCCUCCCGCUCCAUCCCCUAGCAUCUCCAGUUGAGGCUGAUGUCCUAAUCUUCCCAACCUCGGGCCAAAAAGACCUGAGAGGGGAGUGAGGGAUAAAAAGGUGGUGCUACCUAAGAGGAGAGGCUAGCUGUGUGCCCCCUCCCACUGAAGGCCCCCCUUCCUCCUCUCUGGUUGUGGAAGCCUUCUUGGCUAUCCCCUGCACUCCAAUCUCACCCGAAAGGCCCUGGGAGGACAGGGUGAGCAGAGCCUGGGGGCGGGGGAUCCCCUCUGCCCUGGCUGGCUCUCUCACCCUCCCCCUCAUACCCCCGCCCGCCCCCAGCCCCGCUCCUCCCGCUCAGUUCCACUUGUGGUCUCCGCCGGCAGGGCAGGGACAGCUGCAUUUCUCGCAACGGGCCACUAGGAAGCUUGCCGGCGCCUCGCAUUCUCCUCCUUCUCCCGCCCCAGCCGGAGCCAGAGCCGAAGCCGGAGCCCGAGAUUGCACCCCCUUCCCCAGAGCUGCGUCCCAGCACCGUCACCCCACCUAGCCUGUGGCUUUCCAGGGCUACUAAAGGCGGGACUCACACUCCAUCCAGGUUAUAGGGAAGAGAGUGGAGGAGCGCCCCUCGCUUGUCUUGGGUCUCGGCUCAGGUCUCACCUGCUCCAGGAAAUCUUUAAGGAUUCUCUUAGGAAUGAGUGGAAUGUUUGUUUCCCUACCCCUUUUUAUUGAAAGCUUCAAAACUUUACAAGUGAUUAUAGGAACAUCUGUGUAGGGCCAAAAGAGACUUCCAAGGCCAUUUUUUUGACCUUGUCAUUUUACAAAUGAUGAAAUUGAGACCUAGGGAGAUCAAUUGACAUUUGCUGAACAUCACA